GGGGCUUUAGCUCAGUUGGUAGAGCGCUGCCUUUGCAAGGCAGAUGUCAGGAGUUCGAAUCUCCUAAGCUCCAC
This 74-nucleotide transfer RNA is filed under the name Streptomyces goshikiensis. RNAcentral's name for it is "tRNA-Ala". It matches the Rfam family "tRNA". Rfam says of the family: Transfer RNA (tRNA) molecules are approximately 80 nucleotides in length. Their secondary structure includes four short double-helical elements and three loops (D, anti-codon, and T loops). The record is from RNAcentral. RNAcentral also lists the same sequence under 3 other names. Lineage: Bacteria; Bacillati; Actinomycetota; Actinomycetes; Kitasatosporales; Streptomycetaceae.